RNAcentral lists this non-coding RNA (45 nucleotides) under Trichobilharzia regenti. Lineage: Eukaryota; Metazoa; Platyhelminthes; Trematoda; Strigeidida; Schistosomatidae. The record is from RNAcentral.
GCCUAGCUGAUGACUCCCAAAUAGGACGAAAUGCGCAUCCUGGUU